Peromyscus californicus insignis is the source of this 20942-nucleotide long non-coding RNA. RefSeq lists it as uncharacterized. NCBI's taxonomy places the organism in Eukaryota, Metazoa, Chordata, Mammalia, Rodentia, Cricetidae. The record is from RefSeq and is a predicted model, not a curated record. The transcript has 10 exons.
UCUCCGCCUCUUUGUCUGCUCUGGGACUUGGAACAAAAGGGGGAACUCUGAUGAACUCCUUCUCCCGCUCCCUGGACGCCUGGGUAUGUCCCUCUCACAACUUUGUCAACGCGACUUUCUCCGCUGUCAGGCUGCGCAAAAGUGUCCCAGCGCCUCGCAGGCUGCAACAAUGGAAACAAUGUCCCUUCAAAGUGCGACGAAGUGGGGGAGAAGGUGUCAUUACCAGCGUUUCCAAGUGUCAUGUCAUGCUUGGCCAGAGUGCUUCCUACUGAUCUGCCUUCGAAUUGUUCUUAUUGGAUAUAUACUUCUCAGCCAGUGGCAUGGAGAUGCCACCACCCCAGCAAGUUAGCCGUGGACAAAAUACUAUCAAUUUCUUUCUUUGGAGUUUCUUCAGUUAAAUUGUUGGGAUUUUGGACAAUGCUUUCCUUAUGUGGAUUAUUGCAGCUUGAUGACUGGGAAUUCUCCACGUAUAGAAGCACUCCCAGGUGACUUCCCAAGAAGCCUGCACACCCAGCAUGUUCAGCCACAAGUGAGAUGAUGAAUGUGCCUGUAUCUUACCUGUAUCGAAGAAAGAAUGAACUUACCAUGAGAAGACUGUUUACUAGCAGCGGUUGAAGAAGCCCCUUUGACAUCAAGGCUGUCAUGCCAGUCAUGUGUCAUUAUAUUACAGUUGAAUGAGGGAUGGCCAUCCAGUGACCAAUGGGGAUUUACUGCCUUGAAGGCACGCAUGUGUGUGAUUAAGGGAUAUACAUGCAUGACUCCAGGAUUUACUUCCUUCCUGUCCCACAGAGUUACUGAAGGGAGUGAGUUAUGGGAUAAUUUAUAAUGCGGCAGGCCCUUCCUCAAGACAGCCCUCGUCAAAACAGGAAGAUGAAACUCAGGUUUCACCAAGGAGACCACAGCUUGGGAUACUGUCUGGACGUACCUCUUAAUUACAAGCAGAAAAGUCUUCAUACUUUUCCAUUUCUAACGCCCAGGCCCCGCAAGAGAUAUCUACUGAAAGGUUUUGUGCUGCCUGGGCAAAAAAAGAAACUUGGUUGAUGUAUUGCAGAACAAAGCUUCUAUUCACAAAGGCCAGAGAAUCUACAAACUACGAUGGAAGACUGAGCAAGCAUUCUGUGCGAGACGAGACUCCCUCCUGUCGUGUUUCCUCCAGCCUUCCCUCUUCGUUUGUGUAUUCUUGCUCCAGUUUUGAGUUGGUCGAGUGUGUGUGUGUGUGUGUGUGUGUGUGUGUGUGUGUGUGUGUGUGUGUGUGUGUGGUGUGGCGGGGUCGGGGGUGUCAAGUGGGUAUUUUCUGUCCUGGGCUUGGGUGCAACUAAGUGGUAGAUCUUUUACUAAACAUUACAGAGCUCUGGGUUACAUCUCCAGCACUAAAAGAAGGACUCAGAACUUUCAGCCUAAAAGAUUUAGCUGGCCUUGAGAGGGCUUUUGUGAGUGCAUGAGUGAGCGCAUGCGCGAGCAUAUAUAUAUGUGUGUGUGUGUGUGUGUGUGUGUGUGUGUGUUUCAAGCAAGGAAGUAUAGGAGAACAUUUGACAGUGUUCAAGGGGACUUGUUUCAUAACCAGUAACACUAAGUGUAGGCUUUUGUGCUUCAUUUUCAACUUUAAAUCCUAGCUUCAGCAUGUAUUACAAGAAUCAUUCUCCACUGAAGUGUCUGUGCACCCUGCGAUUGCUGUCAAAGGUCCCCCCACACUGUCUCAUUCAGGGGAGUCUUCUGAAUGGUUCUCAUUGAUAACAUUAGAUUCCUGAGCACUGAGUUCUGCAAGUGGUGUUUUUUAGGUUAAAAUGAUCAAGUUCACCUUUCACUUUGGAAUGCCCCAGCGGUUGGCAGCAACUUCUUGUAUUAGAGAGUGUAAAAAAGAACCAGGAAGACUUCCCAAGCUCUUCCUUCUCUCCCAUCUGCCCCGGUGACUGCAGCAGCCCCAUAAAUUACUGCUGCCCUUUUGAACUGACCUUCAGGUUCAGGAGAUGUAAAUAGUGAUGGCCUUGACACCACCUGCCCCCACCCCGGUGUGCACUCUGCUCAGGAGAAGGAAUCUCUUCAGUUAACUGAAAGCAGGUGGGCCAGUGGAUCAGUAACUCUAGAUACUUGACCGUCCCCAAUUCUGAGGCAACCUGCCCUAGUCCUGUUUCUGGCCUAGGCGAAGGUGUCUCCAGAGUGCAUCCACUUGUGUCUUUAGCUACUUUCUCUGUAUUGGACUCCUGUGGGUCUAGCCCUUACUAAGGUGGCUCCGAGGACACAGAAUAUGCAAGUGACAACUUUUAUAUGUCUGUUAAAAUCAAAAUCAAGGAAACCAGCACUACCACUAACAUGAUGCUAUACAGUGGUUUAGGCCUGGCUUGGUCUCCUAGCAAUGUGAUCUUAGGCAAAUUAUUUAACGUCUCUGUCUCAAUUUCCUUAAUUAUAAAAUUAGAAUGAUCACAAUACUUACUUUUCCUUAUUGUUGUUGUUAUUAUUAUUUCUAACUAGUUUUUUAUUUGUGUGUGCAUGCAUAUGUCCUAGUAUGUGAGACAGGUCCAUGGAGGUCAGGGGACAAUUUUUGAGAGUCAGUUCUCUCCUUGCACCAUGGGUUCCAGGAAUUCAAAGGCUUGCAUAGCAAGAGCCUUUACCAGCAGGCUGGCCCUCCUUUCCUUUCUUUUUUUUAAAGAAUUAAAGGAGAGCCAUCCACUGAAGUAUUUCUUAAAUAAACAUUAAGAUUUCAGGGCUCCUCUGUCUAUGAGAGUAAUAUACAAAAGUGGUAAGACCUACAGCCUAGGAACAGCCUCAGUGUGUGGAUUCUGACUUCUGGAGCAGCCACUUCUUUUGUUACAUAGAGAUUGGGGUGGUCUGGGGGUGUAUCAAUAUUGCUCUGAGUUUUCAAAAAGGGUUUAAUGAGAUUUAUUUUGCUGCUGAUAGUAAUUUUUCUGGAUUUAUGUGAUGUAUGCAUCGGGAAGAGGAUUAUCGGAAUACGUGCUUGGUUGUAUUGCCAGGUAUUGUCAGCAGUCCCGGUUUAUAGAUCCACACUGUACUGCAGGCUGAGUCAGAGAGGUGCCCCUGUAGGGGACCAUGAUAGCACUGCAGGGGUUGGCCUGUGUCGCUUUGGUAAUUCUUCACUUAGAAGCGAGGGCAUGAGGAGACAGUGCUUACCCAUCUGUCUACCGGAACAUUUGUAUGUAUAUUACCUGAGCAUUUAGGCCCACCGUGGAGAGAGAGGAUUUAAAAUGAAGAAGAAAAAAAGGGAAAAAAUGAAAAUAAAUUAACAUGAUGGAACCAACAGAAGUGUCUUUGCAGAGAAAGUGCCAACAGUUCUUAGAAGCAGACUUCAUAGCCAGUAGCAAAGCCCUGGGUUGUUGUCUUUUAGAAGCAAAACCCAACACACAAAGCUGAAGCUGAAAUCAGAACCUGGAACUGUUCCAGGGAAGCCUGUCCAUGCAGGCUUCUGAGUCUCAGAUUCAAAGGAGGGGAAAAAAUCCAUUUCGCAAAGUAACUUCUUACAUUGAUUGCUAGCUGUCAGUGUUUGAUGGGUAGAUCCUGAAACAUUAACUGAUUGAAUUCUUCAGUGCUGUGAGGUUAUAGUGGUGGCCUCCCUCUGCCGCUCUGCCCUUCUGAAUUUGUACAUGGACACACGAGACAUGCGCUAAAUGUGGAGUGGUGAGCGGAGUGCUACGGUUUGGCAUCCGCUUGUUCUUUCCUAAAGAGAACCAGUGGAAAGACAGAGGAUUUAAUGGAAAUAUUAUUUAUUGAUUGCUUAUGCUUUGUGGCAGCUGAUAAAUUGUCCAGCUCCUGACCACACAAACACACACACACACACACACACACACACACACACACACACACACACACACACGCCCAAUCCUCCCAUUCCAGACACAGUGAUACCCUGGGGGGCACACUGUAGGAAUGGAGGUUGAUGGUGUCUGCCUUUCUCAUACCCCUGGGCUCCUUUCCCUUUGGCACUGGAGACCGCCUUAUUUCUUUUCCUGUCUUCGAUGAACUACUUUGAGAGUAAAGCAACUUAAGAGAGAAAGGGCUUAUUCUGGCUCCUAGUUCAAGGGCAUAGUCUCUCCUGGCAGGGAAGUGAAGGCUUCAGGAGUUAGAUGCAGCUGCUUGAGUCAUACCUACAAUAAAACAGCAGACGGUGGUGAAUGCCUGCUGCUGCCCAGCUCCCUUACUCCACUGCAGCCCAGGGGUCCAGCCACCGGAGGUGCCACCCACAGUGAGCAGAUCUUCCCAUCUCAGUUGGUGCCAUCACAGUAACCCCCAGGGCCUAUCAAGUUGGCAGUUGACACUAACCAUCACAGGACAGUCACGCUCUGUGCUUCCACUUGAGAGUGAGAGAAGCAUCUAUCUUGCAUGUUGAAUUGUUUUGACUGUUUUGUUUUUAAGCCUAGGAGUUCCCUGCACCACAGCUCUGAUUUCUAAGAGUUGUGACUCUCCUCUGCUUGGCGGGCACCUAACUCCCAGGGUUCUGUGUUUCACCCUGCACCCACAUGCCUCUAGACUAGUGACCUCCUUAGGAUGAUGUGGGUGGCAAGAGGCUGUAGAGAUCAAGGACCUCAGGAAGAUGCAGAAACCAGGUUCUAAACCAGGUUCUAUAGAGCAUUCAGCCCUCUGUGGCAGGUUUCCACACUCAGCCAGUGCUGGCUGUACUGUGGCUAAUGGAUAGAAAUGGGCUGAGGAAGAAAAGAUAAGGUAGAGCAAGGACUAUCACUCAGGACUUGAGAUUUCAUAUGAGACAAAAGGAAGAGAUUACAAAAGCAUGGUGAAGAGGGGGUAUUUCCCAAGAGUAGCAGUUUACUUUCUAUUGAACCUAGGAACAAUGCAUAUUCAUUCAUUGGCAGGCAAUUUGGGGUAAUGGAGUGUGGACAAUUUCUGAAUUUUACCUCCUUGCCUCCUGUGGUCAGUGCUGCCUUUUGUCGUGUUAGAAAGAAGGGGUGAUGGUGGGGGGGUGGGCUACAAGAGAAAGCAAGUGAAAUGCUUUCCAGAUCUGAUAACUUCAGAGAUCUCAGGAGAAAACUCUGGCUCAGGUCCCAGGAUGAGGUCACACAGUCUGCUGUUGGAUUUAUGUUGGGAUGUCAACCACACCAAAGGCAUGCGGCCACGAUCCCUCUGCAGUCAUUUAUCAGGGUGAAGGAAUGGCCUUUGGGUCAGUUGUGUAUAUACCCUGUGACUGCUCAGAACUACUGAGAAGGGUACCCUAUUCAUGGUGGAAGAAGCAUUAAAUAUUCUUUUCUGUUGAACACUAUGCAACUUCCAUGUCAUGAAAUUCAAAUCUUUUAUCUCCUCCACCUUGUAAAACCUUUAUGCAAAUAUUUUAAUUCUUCCUUACCUGGUGAGACCUUUGUUUACACAAAGGCCGUGCAGCAUUUUCUACACUCAAGUGACUUAAAUGGCCCACCGCUUCUCCAUUUCUUUGUGCUGAUUCUUUGAAGACUAGCCAAUUGUGAAAGCUUGUGAAGGCAGACCCCAGCCAAUGGGAGAAGGCACAGUUGCUCCCUGUAUUAGAAUAAAGAGCAAGAGAAGUUUUUGCCACCCUGUGCUUGCUGGGCAGGCUUGGGUUUGUGCAUCUUAUUCGCAAGGAUAGCCUUGCUGAGAAGCUGUCACUUGGCUUGUUUUUUUUUGUGAGACUGAGAUUGUUCUGUUUCUAACAACGGGCCUAUGUGGAUAUUUUCUUGAGCAUGUCUGGAGGCCCAGUGUUUUUGUCUCCAUAAGUCCUUUUGUGAUUGUCCGUAGAUUUGGGGGAAAGAACUCCUCCUCUGUGAAGCCAUGUUUGAAUCCGAAGCAUCAAAGGCAAACUGCCAUACCAAUGCCUUAUAUAACCAAAGUACAAAAGAGCUGGUGAGUGUUAGGUUUGGGGAGGGAAAGCGGAAGAGGAGUUUGAGAGAGAGGUGCUGAUGGGAAGUGUCCUUUAGGCAAGAAGGAGCUUUAUUAAUGCUGGUGGGUAGACAGGUAAUACAGCAGCACAGCAGGGACCUGAGACAAGAGGCUUCAGGCUUAGCAAGGUGUCUUGGGUAUCUACUCCUGAGGUUUUUGAGGAUGUGUGUGUAUGGGAUUCUGCACUACAGGGAAACAAGCUUGGUUAAUAUGUGACCUAUGUUAUCUGACAGAGGUGAGAAAGCAGGGGUCAUGUGACCCAGACUACAUGUCAAGUGUCGUUUUUUUUUUCCCCUCUGGGUAAGAAAGUGGAGCUUGGUUAAUGUUUGGCCUGUAAGAUAGGGCCAUUGUCAGGCUGCCUCCAACAUUCCCCCAUCAGGAAGUGUGUGUUGAGGGGGACAGGUGUGCACCCAUCCUGUUUCUAGAGGUCCUUUUUGCUUAGGGCCUGGUUCUGAUGAUGAAGGAGCACAUCCUGUGGUUCCAACUAGUUGGACAGCUGUGAUAGGAAGAUUACUUGGGUACAGGAAUUUGAAUUGGUCUGAGUACCAUAGAAAGUACUAUCUCAUUCAUUCAUUCAUUUACUCAUUCAUAUAUGUACAGAAAUGUAUAUGUUAAGUGUAUGUGUAUGGCAAUGAUGUUCACAAUAACUAGCGCUUAUUGACAGCUAACUGUACCCCUUAGAGCAUUCUAAGAGCCUAACAAAUCUUUCAGCAUAUGCAGUUUGUGCUGCUAACCUGAUUUAUAGACAAAGUAUUUUGUGGAACAGAGAAGUAAAGGGAGGCAUGCACAGUCUAAAAGUUUGAAGAAGAAUAUACCACUCACUGAGACAAUAAGCUGCGUGCUUCAUAGCAAACUGAAUUCCUUAUUGUGCUCCCUCCUCACACUUGCCCAGAGGAGUUCACAAGUGAGCGGAGGAGUUUUUAUGUAAAGCAAGCUUGGAAAUGUGCUACUAGACGGAAGGCAAUUUCAAGAGGAGUGUGCUAGCAAUUACAUGGAUAAUUCUCCAGUUGAAUCCCUCCUGGGAUCAUGUUGAAAAUAAGCGAAAUUGAACUGUGUUCAAAGUAAGAGCAAAACACGCAUGAAAACAGAUUUCUCCAAGCACAUGUGCCAUGGUGAAUCUAUGAAGUGGUACCUAACUACCUCUGGGAUGGUGUUGGUGAUGAGAGAACGUAGCCUGGGCAACCAAAAUGAUGUCAUUUAUGUCUCAACAGUUAGUUUAAUACGUUGGACAUUAGCACUUUGGGCUCUGGCUUCUGAUAGGUAGAUGUCACUGGGAGUGGUCAGGUAGGGAGAGAGGCAGUGGAAGAUUCUGGUGACUUAGGAGUGGCCAUCAUGAGCUAUACUUUUCUCUGUCAGUCAUCUCCUGGGGAACCCACAGUAUUUGCUCAUGGUGGUGUGUGGGAGACCAGAGGGAAGACCUCUAGGGAAGCAGGGAAUGGCUAGGGACAGAAAACAGCACUUCACUUUUCAAUGUCAGGGGAAAGAUAAUCUCAGUAAGUGUCCUUUAGUGGAUGUGAAUUCCAGGAGCUUCCUUAGGCCUCAGCUCUCUCUCUUUUAAAAUUAUUAGCAAAUAAAAUUGACCUUACUAUACUCAUUUGAAAUUGAAAUAGGUUAAAAUAAAAGGCUAGUACUAGGGCCUAGAGCCCAUAAGGGAGGUUUCCAAUGUCAGUGACAAAGUGAGAGCAAUCUGUCGCUUGAAGUAAACAGUUUCAGGGUCACCCCACUCUGCCGUGACCCAGGGCAGACUUCAUCUCAGGAAGACUGGAAUGAAACUUGUUAGGAAGAUAUGAUGCAUACAGUUGAAAAAGUAAUUACUGUUAAUAUCCAGGUCUAUCUGUCCAUCUAGCUAGGAUUACCUUUAGAGAUCCUUCCCAUACAUUCAGAUGGGUUCUGGUGACAAAAGACAGCUCAUGGUUCAGACAUUUGCCUCAGUGACUUAAACACCGUGGUCCGCCAUUGACAGCAGGGUGGAGCUCUGUGGUCUGGCUGCCUGGUGGUGUAUCCCUCUCUGUAAUAUCCCUGUCCUCACUGACCCAGAGUCUUAGCUAGGCUUCUAGAGCAUCACCAUGGGACUUUGUGCCUUCCUUUUUGAUAAUUCGUUUUUGUUUUGAGACAGAGUCCCACACUGUAACCCAGCCUCACCAGGAACUCACUGGAUAGUCCAGGCUUGCCUCAAACUGUAGCUUGUCCUGCCUUUGCCUCCCAAGGACUAAGAUGACAGCUGUAUGCCAUCAUAACCCACCUCUUAAAAUUCUGUUUUAUUUUUUUGAGACUGUGUCUCAUGCAGCCCAGGCUGAUCUCAAACUCAGUAUGUAGCUAAAGACAACAUUGAAUUCCCUGCCUCCACCUCUGGGUAUGAAUUCCGUGGAAAAAUUAUUAUUAUUUUUAAAUUUCUGGUAGUAUGCAGUUUGAUUUGUUGGUGAUUUUCUAGCUCUACUGUAAGGUCUUUGAGAGUGUGUCUACUAAUUUUUCUUCCUUUAAAAUGGUAUAUUUUACCAUUUAAAAAAGUAUAAGAUGAUUGCUUAUUUCUGCCAUCUCAGCCCUUGGGACGCUGACGCAGAAGGGUCUCUGUACUACAGUGCGAGGCCGUGGCUCAAAGAAAAACAAACAAAUCAUUUUUCUUUCAAUUUUAAUGUACUACAGAUAUAACCUAGAGCCAUCAAUACAUGGGCAAACACUCCAGAGAUGGACCUAUUUCUAGCCCCUUCUUUUAAUUUCCCCAAACCUCAGUUUCCUUGCAUGUGAAAGAGGGGACUUAAUAAACAGGCAGUAAGCACUUACUGAACUCUGGUCACUGUGACAAUGAAUACAAGUACUUAACAUGCACUUGCAGCUCUUAGGAUGUUAAGUUAGCAGCACCCCCCCCCCCCACCUCCUCAUGUCCCCUACCAAGGAGGAGUGCCCCCGAACCCCUGUAGGCUGGCUGCCUCGAGGCCAUUUACCUUUCACUAAAAGCCCAAGAACCCAAUCUCCAGGGUUUAGUAUUGAUCCCAUCUAGUCCAUAGAGAAUAUGCUAAUCAUCUUUGCUAAGUGCUUUUGGCCAAAGGUGUAAAAGCCUUAUUCCAUUUGGGUCAUAAAAAAGCAAACCCCUGAAAUUUCCGUCUUGGAAUUUGUGAUUAUGGAAUUUGCAUCUUGAAAGGCAGUAGUAUCUCAAAUUUAAUGAUAAGCCAUUUUCAGUGGAGUAUUCAUAAUUUUUUUUCAUGACCUCUCUGGUUGAAAGAACUACAGUAGGGUAUAGAUUUCUGUGGCAUACUAUUUAAUUUCUAUAAAAAUUAUGCAAAUCCUUCCUUUCUUUCUGUAUCAGCUGGUAUGGCUUUGGGGGCGGGGGUAUUUAAAGCUAUUCAUGUGCAAGAAGCAAAACUUUUACAGAAUGGUACUUAGGCUGUCAGUCUGCCUCAGUUUCUUCAUCAGUGAAUAUAACCCUGGCCAGCUGCAUACCUCCCUGGAACAUUAGGAUGAAUAGCUCCGAGCUUGUAAAGUACUUUAAAUGUCUUGGAUGAAAGGGUCCCUGUAAGUAUAGGUCUUAGGAAGGUAUUAUAUGUGGUCUUUCAAAACUGUAGUGCAGCCUGUUUGGCAGGAACGCUAAUGCACUUCUGGCUUUAGAGUCGUAAAGAUAUACAUUGAGAGGCCUCGGGCUUCGUCUUGUGAGUUCUCGAGGCAAUGCGCCUCCACUUGCUCCCCUGUUGCAGAGAUUCUGUCUGAAGCGCAGGUACCUGCAAGUGUGCACACGCUGAGCUGCUCUGCGGAUGACAGGCUGCCUUGGCUGCUCUGGUAUUGAGAAAGCUCGGGCUGUUGGUGAGAGGAGGGGCCCCGGGUCCUCUUGGGACCCUUUGGGGCUGCUCUAAUAUGGGGAGAGAGAGAGAGAGAGAGAGAGAGAGAGAGAGAGAGAGAGAGAGAGAGAGAGAGAGAGAGAACAAGCACGUGCACUAAUGUAAUGUACAAAGUAAUUACAAACCAAUGUAAUGCUGAGGGAGAGGUUUGUCACGUGCUGAUUUGGGGUCUGGAUUUUCCAAUCAGUGGGCCCAGUUCUACCAGGCAAGUUGGCUACUUGUCAUGAAACUCAGUUUCCCUGUAAGACAGCCCUAAUAUUUAUAUUACCCACAGCCAGAAUGUAAAUGGAGAUGCAGAUAUACAUAUCUGCAUGAUGAAAAAUUGAUAAACUAAAGACCUGCCAAAUAAAGUGUACACGAAAAUCCUGUUAUGCAUACAACUGUACCUUUACAUGAAACUUGAAGGCCAGCUUUGAAUUCUGAGUUUUGAGACUCUUAAGAAUCCCCUACCUACUAGUUGGUAUGGAAAUACAUAGUAGUGAUUCUUCAAGUUCCUGUAUGAUUGGUAAAAUGCACACACACACACACACACACACACACACACACACACACACACACUUUAUUUGAAUUUGAGACAGAGUUUUUACUCUUGAGCCCAAGCUGGCCUCAAACUUACCAUGUAGUUCAGGGUGCUAUCAAAUUCAUGGCCAUCCUCCUGCCUUGGCCCCCUGAGUGCUGGGAUUCUGCCUCAGUGGAUUGUAUAACGAGGACAAGGUGUGCCUGAAGGAAAAAAUCUAAAUAACCUUAGUAGUACAUUCAGGCUGGUGCACCUGAUCCUGAAGAGGAUAUAGGGCUUAGUGUAUGUGUACUCUUAGGACAUAGCAUUGUUGCCUGUGGCAAAUACACUUUAGCACAGGGUCUCUCUUGCCCAGCAUGCAAGAUGUACUGCAUAGAGGGUAGUAGUGAGCCUUCUUCCAAGUGUUAGGACUGCAGGUGUGCACUUCCAUGUUGGUCUGGUACUGGUGCUGGAUAUUGAACUCAGGACGUCGUGCACACUAGACAAACACUGGGCUACACCUCCAGCUCAUGAGCAUUCUUUAUAGACUAUGUAUAAUUAUGCUUUUAGGAAAGUUAAUAUAAAGUAUGAAAAACUUUCUUAGCAGAAAAGCCUCAGACUAGGUAAAUCAUGUCCACAUUUACCAACGAUGAGAGUGAGGGCUAUGUCCUAGCAAACAGAAAGAUGUCUGGGUUUCGGUCUCUAGGACCUAGCACAGUGCUCUGUUGUUUCUUGGUAUCGAAUCUGUUCAUUCUAUAUCACAAAUUCAAUACGUAUUCUUGGCUACUUCUCUCCUAAGUGUUAUCCUGGGCUUAUUGGCAAUAGCAGUGAACAGAUAUAGCUUCCUGUCUUCACAGAGUGAAUGCUUCAUAAAACAGAAAGUGAGAUGUAAGGGUAAUUGUAAAACUGUGCUGUUUCCUUUAUAGUGGCUUCUUCUCUGGCCACUCAAUUGUUUCAUACUGAUACAUUAUAUCUCCAGACCAGCCAUGAUUAGGGAAUACUUCCUCUAGCAGACAUAAUAGAGAGUCACCAUAGAACAAGAGAACAGGCCAUUGCUUGAUUAAAUGACUUGGGUUUUGUAUGGAGCUAUAUUCAAAUGCUCAGGUUCUCACUGUUGGAAAUAGUCAUGUUCUUUGGAGCUCUGAUGUUCUGGAAUGCUAGCCUUUUCAUCUUUCAGUCUUUGCUCUGUUUAAGAUGUUGCCCUGGGCUCUAUGAGAAGUUUCAGAGACACUGCAGUAUAUAAAAGAACUUCAGAGUAGUUGUUGGUAUGUCCUAACCCGUCAGUGUUAACUGACCAUACUACUUAUCUGCCCAAAUCCUGAAUGAAAUGAGUUCCUUCCCCUCCCUGACUCCUUCCGUGUCCCUGAAGGAAGUUGUCCCUGAACCCUGCCACACAGUAGCUGCAGAUACUUUUCAACACCUGGAGUGCUGUCCUUGUGGUUCAGCUGACUUCUCUUGGAGACUUCUUCAUGAAGAGAUCAGUAGGAUUUAUCGAAGCUACUGGAAAGCUACUGGGAAGUGCCAGGUGGAUCCGGAUGUAAACUAAUUGUGAAAUCCAACAUAGAAAAAGUCGCCACCCCCCCUUUACUUUUCUUCUCUUCAACUCAAUGCAUUUUAAAAAGCCUUUUGGUUCACAUAAAUAUAUGUUAUGUGAUCUGCUGUUAAAGGGCCCACCCUUCCUGGUUUGGGACAAAUACCUCCCUGAAGCAAAGAGACACCUUGACUGUUGACACCCCUUUGUGGUGGCAAUCAUAGGUGAGUUUGUUUUGCUAAUCAAAAUGUAAUGGAAUUGCUUUAUUGAGAGGUGUAACAAAUAUUGUUGAUAGUCAGGAACUUCUGCUGUUUGAAGAGGGGUCAGCCAGUUCUCACUGUAAGGUUUUCACAGUCUACUACUCACUGUGGGGUAAUCUCUGUGGGUGUGGCUCUUCUGUUAGUCUUUCUACUGUAAUUUUUAAAAUUUGCUAUAUUAACUAUAAUCUACCCAGAUAGAGUUAGGUUUUUGCCAAUAAGCUACAAAGUGUGGUGCAAUUCUAAAGGAAUGAGAAGAAGAUUGCUGACCAGAUUUUAUGGUUUUGCUAAAUAAAAAUGUGAUUUAAAAUAAAGUAAAGCAACCAGUUUUGGGCUUUGUUUCUAGCAUGUUGUUGGAUGCUAGCAGGUUGUUCAAGGACUCUGGGUCUUCUCCUUCCUUCCCUCCCUCCCUUUCCCUGGGAUGGAACCCAGGGCCUCAUACAUGCUAGGCAAACAGUCUCUCAUGGAGCUGUAUUCCUAGCCCUGGAUCGUUUUAUUUAUCUAGUAUUUCUGGUAUAAUGUUUCUUUUGAGUUUAAAGUUCAGGGAUUAAUAAAAGACCCUUUGAAGCUGUAGUGUUUCUUAAACCUAGCUAUAUAAUACAUAUUAUAAUACAAUUGUUUAAGAGCCUUGUGUUGUUACAUCUAAAGUUGAUGUGGUGUCAGGUGCUUUUAGUUCCACUAGGGCCAAGAGAGUCACUCAAGUUAGGAUUUUGAGACUAGCUUGAGCAGUACAGCCCAAGUCUAAAUCUGAACGCAAGAAUGAAUGAGCAUGGAUGAGCAUAUCCUGACUACCUGUCAUUUUCUAGUUUAGUCAGCCUAGGUGUGGCCUUUGGAGCAUCAGGUCCCUAGGGACUCAAGUUAUAGUUUGUUGUACGUCACCAUACGGGUGCUGCUAAUUGAACCCAGGUUCUCUACAAGAACAGCCAUGUGCUUAACCACUGAGCCAUCUCUCUAGGCCCUGGAUAUGUAUAUCUUAUGCGAGUUCCCUUGUGAGAAUCACUGGUACUUGUAGUGGGGAGGGUGGUAUGGAUCCCUGAGAAUUCAGGAAGGCUCUGGAAUUUUGUCUUCAGACUGCUGUGAAUAUGCAUCUAUUUAAAAACUGUAUCUCAUCAUGUAUCCCAUAUAUUUAACAAGCUUUGAUUAAAAAAAUAAAUUCUCUGACCCAGAGUCUCUUUUAGGAGUUGGUUCUUACAAAUUUCACUAAUCCAGUUCAUCACUACUGAAUGGAAUUGCAGUGAUUGUCUGGGGGACAUGAACAAAUGACAUUUGAACUGCUUAAGAAGCUUCCUUUCUGCUGACCAGCUGUCAUAAUACUGGAAAGUGCUAAAAACCAUCAGUAGUCUUGCCUAGCUGUGAAGCCUGUGAACCACAUUAAUGACCAGCGUGAGAAGAUUUGCCAAGGGGUGUAAUAGUGGCAUGAAUGUUAUAGAGAUGGAGGUUAAGGCAGAAACUCACAAAUGAUAACUCACGGAGAAUAAGUGUCUGUGGAGUGCUUAGCUACUACAGAUGGGGAGUCUAUAUCACUUCUAUCUCGGAGGUCCCAGACCAUAUCUGAAGAGAGGGCAGAAGGAGUUGAGAGCCAGAGGUGGAGCGAUCUAGGGGAGUCCAUCCGCUAUUUGUGGAGCUCUGUUUGUGGAUGUGGAUGUUUUGAACUCUUCAGCCUCAGACUUGGUCUCAGUAUUACCAGCUGAAGAAGCUGGGAACCAGAAAGCUUGUGAGAAGAAUCCGAAGUCAAGACGGGGAGAUGUCUUAACAUGAGAAAAGCCAACGAUGACAUCUGACACCGAGGGUGGUUUUCACAGAAGUUCUGAAGCUGAGAUGCUGUGAAGGAGAACUGUGGUGGCUGUGAAGUAGUUGGAGGGAAAGAGUCUUGACAUAAAAGUCAAACCGCGACGAUCCCAUCUGAAUGCCAGAGGGCAUGCGCACUUUUACAAGCUUGGAUAUUAUUGGCACAGGAAGCGGAGCAUAUGCUUAAAUAUGGAUUUCCUUUGCUAUUUGGAGACCCUUUCCCUGUUGUGCUGUUUUGGUAGGCUGCCAUUCCCCUCCAUUUGGUUGGCUUGGAUAGAGUAUAUCUUGCCUUGGAUCUUACAGAUCCAAGCCUGGUGGCACCUGGUCAGUGUGGGAACAAGGAAAAGACCCCUCCUGUGGAUUUUUCAGUCCUGGAUGUAUGGGCCCUCCAUGAUUCUCUCUCCUUCUGUAACAGCAGACCCCAGGUUUCGCUCAGAGUACUUAGGAGAGAAAGAGGGCAUAUAAUGAAUGCUAGAACUUCAUCAAGAAGGCUGUCUUAGUUACAUUUCUAUUGCUGUGGUAAAAUGCCAUGACCAAGGCAACUUAUAAAAGAAGGCUCUUAACUCGACUUAUAGCUUUAGAAGGUUAGAGUUCAUGGCGGUGCCAUGAAGGUAUAGCUGAGUGCUUACAUCUUGAUCUACAACUGAGAGAGAGAGAGAGAGAGAGAAAGAAUAUGCCCACUGGCAUUAGUAGGAGUCUUUUGAAACCUCAUAGCCCACUCCCAGUGACAUAUCUUCCCUAACAAGGUAGUACCCUCCUAAUCCUUCUCAAACAGUUCCACCAACUGGGGACCAAGUAGUCAAAUAUGUGAGCCUAUGCGGAUCAUUCUCCUUCAAAUCAUUGGAAGAGAUAAAUAAAGAAGGGUUCCAGUGAGUUGGAAGCUGGGGCAGUGUCACCAUUUGUAGUCCUGCAGGUCAGAACUAUCUUUGGGAUCUCCAUAUUGAAUUCCAAACAAAGCUACAUCUUUCACAGCUGCUUCGUUUGUGGUUUGGGAGCCUGCAGCGACUCCAUGAGGGAAGACAUGGAGAUGGUCAUUCUAGUGACUGAGAACUUCCCCACAGUGCACCAGAGAUUCUCACUGACCAGUGACUGACAACUUGGAAUUCUGCAUUUCAAGAGCUGCGGUCUGUUCCAGUGGCCAGGGGUUACAUGGCUGGUUGUUGAGCACAGACUCUCAACAUACAUUUCCUAAACCAUUUAGCCUUGUACUGUGAUAAUGGACCAUUGGUGUGAGAAAGGACCUUAACUAUCACAUAUGAUCGGUGAGUCUCUUUACUCAGAUGGCCUGUGACUAACUGGGGGAAAGGAGGGUGAUCAUUCUUUUUGUUCUGAAUCUAUAGUGCAGCUUGGUUCGACUAGACCAAUUCAUAAAUCAUAGUGAGUUGUAUGUUUCAAGAUAUCGAUGGACAAAAUGAUUCUUUAUGGGCACGCUGGGCCCCUAACUGAAGUUACUUCUCAGAUAAUGCCUCCUACUUCUUGUCAGUUUUCUUUUACCCUGUUACCUGUGUAUCUAUAGUUUUUCCUGUACCAGGUUUCAGCUGAAAUGUCAGAAGAGGCAGGGCUUGAGGUUAAAUAACAGCUCUGCUGGUUUGGGGCUUUGUCACAUCCAAUGAGUCAUUUCUCUGCAGUAAGUCUCAGGCUCCUUUUAUUUUAUUUUAUUUAUUUAUUUUUUUUUUGCAAAAUGGGAAAUAAAGGGCCAGCAAGAUGGCUCAGCAGGACAAGGCAUUUACUGCCAAGGUCAAGCCUCAGGAUCUCCAGGCCCCAUGUGGUGGAAGGAGCCAAGUGACUUCCUCUGACCUUCACAAGUACACCAUGGCACGUAUGUGUAUACACACACAAAAUCAAUCCAAAAACUAUAUUUAAGGGAAAUAAAAUGUUCUCACAUUUUUGCUUUGUUGUGAAGAUUCUUGUCUGAGCAGGUAUAUAGGGAAGGGGAAUGGAUUGCCAUACAAACACUUGUUUUUGUUUGGCAAUCUGCAAUAUAAUAAAUAUUCAUGAGCAGAAGGAUGGAGGACAAAACCCUGCCUCUGGGGACCUUCCCUAGGCUGGGACUGACUUAGAUGGUGACAGCAUCCUGGCUUACCUGUAUUAGCCUAACACACUGCCCACACAGUCAGCACAUGUCUUUACAUCAGGAGCUUCAAGUUGUCAAGAGGGCCGUUGUCUGAUUCCCCACUUAAGCCCAAAUACAUCAUGUCCACUGCAGUUCCUUCAUCUGCCAGGUUGCUAGCCUUGUCAGAGGAGGAAAUGAGGUUUGCUUUGUCCCUGUGGAACCAACACUGUCUGGCAGGACUGACACUUGUUUUUCUAUGUUGUCACAGCCCAUUGUCUUAACACUCUUCCAAGAUCUUGUCCGGGAUCAACAGUCAAAGCACUGGUGUCAUGUGGGGCCCCCCUUUCUCUUUUUCUAUCCUAUUGUUUUGAAAUAAGGGACUUUAUUCUCCACAUCUUUAGUCUUCUGGUACCAACUCUGCUUUCCCCUCAGGACUUACAACAAAGGACGCCCAGGAGCCUUCGCUUUCGGGUCCAGGUGGCACUCACAGUGCAUUUUAGUCACUCUUUUCAGUUUUGCUGAUAAUGCUGUGAGCUCAGCAUGAGUUGUGUUUGCCCUUGUAAUAUCACCAUGGCUAAAGUCUCCACGUUGAGAAGGCCAUAGAAAUGUGUUCUGAUAUGUGAUCAACGCAUUAAAAAUACAGUGUUGCUUUCAGCCCCCGUAUGAAAACAAAACCAACAUUAUAAAAAAGCAGUAUGCUAUUAAAGGUAUGGUGGUAGUUUAUUUUAUGGCUGACAAAAUUAUGUUUCAUUGUUGAGAAGUCGAGAUUUAAAGAGAUAUUUGGGGGCUGGAGAUGUAACUCACUUUGUAGAAUGCUUGUCUGGAAUGUGUGAAGCCUUGGGCUUGGGCUUUGUCACCAGAACCUCAUAAAUCAGGCAUGGAGGUGCACAUAUACAAUCCCAGCACUUCAGAAGUGUGGUCGCAAGAUAAGGGGUUCAGGGUCAUCUUUAGCUACAUAGUGUGUCCAAGACCAGCAGCUAUGUGCAAGCUUGGACACAGACAGAAACACAGACUCACAGACACACACACACACACACACACACACACACACACACACACACAUACACUGUAGCUAGAGUUUUCCUGCCUGGCCCACAGUAAGGACAAAUCUCUCUCACCCCCCAGUCCCACAGCCGCUCAAACCCGACCAAGUAAACACAGAGACUUAUAUUGGUUUCAAACUGUAUGGCCAUGGCAGGCUUCUUGCUAACUGUUCUUAUAGCUUAAAUUAAUCCAUUUCUAUUAAUCUAUACCUUGCCACAUGGCUCGUGGCUUACCGGCAUCUUCACAUGCUGUUUGUCAUCAUGGCGGCUGGCAGUGUCUCCCUCCCCCAGCUUCCUGUUCUCUCAAUUCUCCUCUCUGUUAGUCCCACCUAUACUUCCUGCCUGGCCACUGACCAAUCAGUGAUUUAUUCAUUGACCAAUCAGCAACACAUUUGACAUACAGACCAUCCCAUAGCACUUCCCCUUUUCUUUUCUUAAAAAGGAAGGUUUUAACCUUUACACAUCUCCAAAGUCAGCUUGGUAUAUUUGGGAAAUUGGGCGUAGCUUCUCUAACUACUUCCUGCUGGAGGGGGGCACUGUAUCUUCUGGGGAAACAAAGAAAAUUUUAGGAUCAUGGAGUAGUCCGUGAGGAUGUAUCGUCUAAGCCAGUUGCCUUGAAACCAUUCUGGAUGUUGGAUCUUCUGGGCCUUGGUGUCACCUUUCAGGGGGUCUUGGCUGGUCAAACCUGAUGUAUCUUAAUCUGGAACAAAUCCAUAGCCUCUGGCUUUCUGUGGGAACAAAAGCAGAAUCUCCUUUCCAAAGCAACAUAUCCUUAUAUCCAAAUUUUGAAGUCAAGGUACCUUUAAAAUAUACAUUUUGGCAUAACUGAACAGCUUUUACAAUCAAAUGUUUUUCUGCAGUUAAAAAUCCCAAAGACGCCAUAAUCCAGAUUCUCUGUGUAAUAUUUAUCUUCACGUGGCUUAUUUUUUAUAUCAAUUUUACUGUCUCUUUAAAGACUUUAUUUUUAAAACUAUGUAUUUGUUUCUAUACUGUAUUUAUCACCUUUUUUGUCUCUUUCAAGCCUACGUAUAUUUUACACACAUUUUAAACUAUUAUAUCUGAAUCUGUCUUAUUGUGAAUCUAUUGUUUUAAGCUGCAGCAGCUGUGGCUGCUGGCUCCGCCCACCUCAGCUUCCCAACAUGGCCGUGGCACACCUUCCACCAGCUCUGGGAGCCAUCGUGGGUCUCUAUGCUUUCAUCCAAGCAGCAUGCAGCCCAGAAACCUCUUUUUUUUUUUUAUUUUGUACUAGCAAAGUCUAAAUCCACCAUGCAGCUUAAUGUGCCACUUGCAGAGGCCUCAUUCCUGCCAUACUGCAGGUCGAGCACAUACACUAGGAACCCACAAGUAGCUCAAACCGGCAGCUGCCGCACAUUUGAGAGAGACAAUUAGGAACUGUUUUUAGCUCCGUUUUAGAAUCUUUUUUUUCAGUUUUUAGGUGGAAAUUCUUGCCCCACGUUGGACACCAUUUGUAGCUUGAGUUUUCCUGCCUGGCCCACAGUAAGGACAAAUCUCUCUCACCUGCCAGUCCCACAGCCUCUCAGACCUGACCAAGUAAACACAGAGACUUAUAUUGGUUACAAACUGUAUGGCCGUGGCAGGCUUCUUGCUAACUGUUCUUAUAGCUUAAAUUAAUCCAUUUCUAUUAAUCUAUACCUUGCCACAUGUUUCGUGGCUUACCGGCAUCUUCACAUGCUGUUUGUCAUCCUGGCAGCUGGCAGUGUCUCCCUCCCCCAGCUUCCUGUUCUCUCAAUUCUCCUCUCUGUUAGUCCCACCUAUACUUCCUGCCUGGCCACUGACCAGUCAGUGAUUUAUUCAUUGAUCAAUCAGCAACACAUUUGACAUACAGACCAUCCCACAGCAACACACACACACACACACACACACACACACACACACACACACACACACACACAGGGGCUGGGGGAUUAGAAAUGAAACUGAUUUGGUAUUUAAAAGCCCAAAGUCCAUUUGAGGCCAGCCUGGCCUACAUAGUGAGUUCUAGGCUAGCUAGAGUUACAUAGUGCAAUCCUGUCAAAAACAAAAACCAAAGCAAAACAAACAGAAAUAACCAAAAUAACCCUAAAGGCCAUUACAUGGAGUUUUUACUUUGUGUAGUGCAAUGUGGUUCAAUGUUAACAUGAACAAAAGAGCCUAAUUUAAAAUUAUUUCCUCUUAAUGCUUUAUUCUAGAUAGCAGUACAGAUGUCUAUUUAGUAAACAUGGUGUUUUUGCCUUUGUCAAAUGUUUGACCUGUUUAAUCUAAUCUGAUUCAAUUCCUGGGUAAGAGAGGGUUUGCCAUGAGAAUACUGAGCCUUAGGCAGCUUCUGUGAACGAUGGACAGACUGAGCAGGACUUGAAUUUAGAUCUCCUGGUGCAGACUCUAGGCGCUUAUCAUUCCAUCCCAGUGUGAUUUAGAGUGUUGUUAGAUGUUUGACUUUUAAAUCUUUACUUCCUGGUAUCCAGAUGACUGUGCAGAAUGACCCCUGACUUGGGCCCUGGUGGUGGGGAUCACUUUAAUAAGGCUGUGUAUGAUUAUUAGCUGAUGGCUGUGUUGUAAUCCUUUACACACUUCAGAUUAAAAGAAAUUUCCCAGUGAAACAACGAGCUGCCUUUCGUCAUUGCUGGAAGACUUUGCCAUGUUUGUUGGAAAUGGUUGAUGCAUUUUUCCCCCUGAAUACUUAGCAUUCAACGCCGAGUGGCUCCCACUGCUAAGGAUGGUGCACCUGAAGGAAGGCCAUUCUCCUCUGUCUUUUUGUCAGGAAUUGAUCAUAAAGAUGGGUUAAUUCCUCCAGGCCAACUCUAAAACUUAGUUUUAUGAAAAUAAAAAUUGUGGUAAUAAUAUUUCAUGGUCUAUAAUAACAGAAGGCUUUGCCCCUCUUUCCUGGAGUAAGGAUUAAUUUCUGGAGGUUUGAGCAUGUGAGGGCAGUGGUAGGGUGUUUGCUGGCAUGCAGUAGACCAUGUCUUCCAUCUGCAGCAUCACAUACAGAAUAGAAGGAAAAGAAAAACAUCUUUCCAGGACAAAGAGCUUCAAGCUACUUUCUUCUUUUCAUUACAGCACGGAUCCCAAUGCUAGAUGCCAUAAAAUGCCUUAGAUAGAGUGUGCUCUGUUUCCCAAGGCUUGGCUUGGCAUUUAAACCAUUUUAAUAGGGAGCUGUAUAAGAAAAUCUAAUAGAAUACCUAAAAAAGGUACAUUUGCAGACCUGGUGGAUGAAGUUGCUUGCUGGCUUGAGUUUAGAAUUUUUGUAAGAAAGUCAGAAAGCAUUUUUGCCUGCUAGAAACAGGGUCUCAAUGUGUACCCAAGCUAGCCUUGAACUCUCAGUGAUCUUCCUGCUUCAGCUUCUUGAGUGCUGGGGUUACAGCCAUGAGCCACUGUGCCUUGCUCCAGAACAUCUUUGGAAAGGGAAAUUUUUACAAAUCUAGGCUUGUCAAAGCAGUGUUUGUACCAGUAGGAACACAAUCAAGCCAGUGUAUUGUCUGCUCCUAUCUUGCCAUAGCCUGUUGCCAGCAGGCAGUAGAUCUAGGGCUGGAUCCAUGGAGUCUUAGCUGAAGAGGUGACUACUAACUGCUGAAUACUUGUGAUGACUGUGGCUGAAACUAGAGCAUACACACAGCUUCCACAACACUUACAGAAGUACACUUUCAGAGUUUAAAAGUUAGACCUGUAAUGUCCUCUCGUACUGAGCCGUUUGGUGCCAAGUAUUUGUGAAAAUUUAUGUUUCUUUAGUGCAUGUUUAUCCCCAAGCUGAAAAAUUUUAAACCAUUUUUAGUCUCUUCCUUCAAGGAUAUUGCUUGGCUUUUUGAUUUACACAAAUUAUAUUAUGUAGGUCAAAUCCUUGGCUAGAAACUCAUCUAAAUAAGGUUUACCUCGGAAUCCCGUGUUUAAAUAGCACUGGAAAGAAAUGUGCUUAGCUUGAUGGUUUUUCCCUAAAGUGUGAUAGUCAGUGCUGAGUAUUUAUUUUGUUUGAGUUUUUCAAUACUUUUAGGUUAUAGCCCAUUUUAGGAAUAGAAAAGUGCAACUUUAAUGCUCAUUUCUCCUGUGAUGUAUUGGGAAAUGUUUGGGCGGAAAUGUUUAUAUUUUUAUUGUACAUAACU